This 373-nucleotide long non-coding RNA is filed under the name Homo sapiens (human). Its description in RNAcentral is "HSALNT0264866". Lineage: Eukaryota; Metazoa; Chordata; Mammalia; Primates; Hominidae. The record is from RNAcentral.
CUUUGUCCUGAAUACUGCAAGCAGUUGUAACACAAGCUUAUUCAAAGAAAAAUGACUUUAGCUUGGCAUGUGAGAAAGGUCAGGACAUUACACUGUUGGAAAUGUCUAUAUGCUUGAAAAGAACCGAGAGUCCUCUGAAUACGUAGCUCCCCCAGCGUCUUCACAGUGGGGUGUUUCACCCAUUUCGUGGAGUCCAAGUUCUGGAACUGGGAAGUUCAAGGCUGAGGAGCUGCAUCUGGUGAGGGUCUUCUUGCUGGUGGCCUUCUUCUGCAGAGUCCUGAGGUGCUGCAGGGGAUCUUGUGGCAGAGGUAGGAGCAAGAGUCAAGCUGGCUUUUUAAUGACCGACCGCCAUGAUAACCCAAGAACCUAUUAA